RNAcentral lists this ribosomal RNA (566 nucleotides) under uncultured bacterium. RNAcentral's name for it is "bacterial SSU rRNA". It matches the Rfam family "Bacterial small subunit ribosomal RNA", at positions 958 to 1511 of the family's 1533-position model. The record is from RNAcentral.
AACGCGAAGAACCUUACCGGGACUUGACAUUAUCUUGCCCGUCUAAGAAAUUAGAUCUUCUUCCUUUCGGGGAAGACAGGAUAACAGGUGGUGCAUGGUUGUCGUCAGCUCGUGUCGUGAGAUGUUGGGUUAAGUCCCACAACGAGCGCAACCCUUGUGCCUAGUUGCUAACUUGUUUUACAAGUGCACUCUAGGCAGACUGCCGCAGAUAAUGCGGAGGAAGGUGGGGAUGACGUCAAAUCAUCAUGCCCCUUACGUCCCGGGCUACACACGUGCUACAAUGGUCUGUACAGAGGGUCGCGAAAGAGCGAUCUUAAGCCAAUCCCAAAAAGCAGGCCCCAGUUCGGAUUGGAGGCUGCAACUCGCCUCCAUGAAGUAGGAAUCGCUAGUAAUCGCGGAUCAGCAUGCCGCGGUGAAUACGUUCCCGGGCCUUGUACACACCGCCCGUCACACCACGAAAGUUGGCGAUACCUGAAGUUACUAGGCUAACCCCGUAAGGGGAGGCAGGUACCGAAGGUAUGGCUAGCGAUUGGGGUGAAGUCGUAACAAGGUAACCUUAAUUAAAA